Molecule: small nuclear RNA, 104 nt
Organism: Apodemus sylvaticus (European woodmouse)
Lineage: Eukaryota; Metazoa; Chordata; Mammalia; Rodentia; Muridae
Source: RefSeq, a predicted model, not a curated record
CACACUUCUGCAGUGUGCUAUAUUAAAAUGGAACAAUACAGAAUAGGUUAGCAUGACCCUGGCACAAGGAUGACACACAAAUUCAUGAAACAUUCCAUAUUUUU